CAUAUUUUUACGAUAGCAAAAAUGUAAUUUCUCUAUUUUAAUAUCUAUAUCUUUAUAAAUUUUAAAUGAUUAAAUCAAAUUUUUAUAUUUUUGGGAGCUAAAGUGAAAUUUCACUUUCACUAAUUUAAAUUUUAUAAACUUUAAAAGAACCUAAAUGAAAAAAAAAAUUAUUUUAAGAGGGUCGAGGCAUUUGCUAAGCC
RNAcentral lists this long non-coding RNA (200 nucleotides) under Gossypium raimondii (Peruvian cotton). RNAcentral's name for it is "long non-coding RNA (GRAI_LNC003821)". Lineage: Eukaryota; Viridiplantae; Streptophyta; Magnoliopsida; Malvales; Malvaceae. The record is from RNAcentral.